This 253-nucleotide ribosomal RNA is filed under the name uncultured bacterium. RNAcentral describes it as "partial 16S ribosomal RNA". It matches the Rfam family "Bacterial small subunit ribosomal RNA", at positions 524 to 776 of the family's 1533-position model. The record is from RNAcentral.
UACGUAGGUGGCAAGCGUUGUCCGGAAUUACUGGGUGUAAAGGGAGCGCAGGCGGGAAGCCAAGUCAGCUGUGAAAACUACGGGCUUAACUUGUAGACUGCAGUUGAAACUGGUUUUCUUGAGUGAAGUAGAGGUUGGCGGAAUUCCGAGUGUAGCGGUGAAAUGCGUAGAUAUUCGGAGGAACACCGGUGGCGAAGGCGGCCAACUGGGCUUUAAUUGACGCUGAGGCUCGAAAGUGUGGGGAGCAAACAGG